CGGAGGAUCCAAGCGUUAUCCGGAAUCAUUGGGUUUAAAGGGUCCGUAGGCGGUUUGAUAAGUCAGUGGUGAAAGCCCAUCGCUCAACGAUGGAACGGCCAUGAUACUGUCAGACUUGAAUUACUGGGAAGUAACUAGAAUAUGUAGUGUAGCGGUGAAAUGCUUAGAUAUUACAUGGAGUACCAAUUGCGAAGGCAGGUUACUACCAGUGGAUUGACGCUGAUGGACGAAAGCGUGGGGAGCGAACAGGAUUAGAUACCCUGGUAGUCCACGCCGUAAACGAUGGAUACUAGCUGUUGGGCGCAAGUUCAGUGGCUAAGCGAAAGUGAUAAGUAUCCCACCUGGGGAGUACGUUCGCAAGAAUG
This 365-nucleotide ribosomal RNA is filed under the name uncultured organism. Its description in RNAcentral is "bacterial SSU rRNA". It matches the Rfam family "Bacterial small subunit ribosomal RNA", at positions 526 to 896 of the family's 1533-position model. The record is from RNAcentral.